AACGCACCUUGCGCUCCUUGGUAUUCCGAGGAGCAUGCCUGUUUGAGUGUCAUUUAAUUCUCAAUCUCUACACACUUGUGUUGUUAGUGGAUUGGAGGUGGGGGUUUUGUGGGCGUACUUUGUAUACCCACUCCUCUGAAAACCAUUAGCUGGAAUGCCUUUGCAAAACCAACUAUCAGUAUGAUAAUUAUCUACGCUGGUGUUGUUGUGAAGGGAAUCUGCUUUCAAACCGUCUUUAUGACAAUUUGAAUCCAUUUGACCUCAAAUCAGGUAGGACUACCCGCUGAACUUAA
Molecule: unclassified non-coding RNA, 293 nt
Filed under: uncultured Conocybe
Lineage: Eukaryota; Fungi; Basidiomycota; Agaricomycetes; Agaricales; Bolbitiaceae
Description: sequence contains ITS2
Rfam family: 5.8S ribosomal RNA (bases 1-52)
Source: RNAcentral